GUAGCUCUGAUGGUUGUUAGUUGCAGUUGAUCUAUGACAUUCUGAAAUCCCUGUAUCUCCCAUUGUGUGACAAGGGAUCCCAAUCUAUCUUUUAAGCUCAAGACACUUUUAAAGUCUCCACAUACAACCUAAGGAAAUUGCUGCUGCAAUGUGAUCUGUAUAAUAUCCUGCCACAAAAUCUCUUUUUCAACAAUUUAUUCUUUGCACAAAC
Molecule: unclassified non-coding RNA, 211 nt
Filed under: Hevea brasiliensis (rubber tree)
Lineage: Eukaryota; Viridiplantae; Streptophyta; Magnoliopsida; Malpighiales; Euphorbiaceae
Source: RNAcentral